This 481-nucleotide ribosomal RNA is filed under the name uncultured bacterium. RNAcentral's name for it is "partial 16S ribosomal RNA". It matches the Rfam family "Bacterial small subunit ribosomal RNA", at positions 28 to 507 of the family's 1533-position model. The record is from RNAcentral.
GAUGAACGCUGGCGGCGUGCUUAACACAUGCAAGUCGAACGAAGCACUUUAUUUGAUUUCCUUCGGGACUGAUUAUUUUGUGACUGAGUGGCGGACGGGUGAGUAACGCGUGGGUAACCUGCCUUGUACAGGGGGAUAACAGUUGGAAACGGCUGCUAAUACCGCAUAAGCUCACAGCAUCGCAUGAUGCAGUGUGAAAAACUCCGGUGGUAUAAGAUGGACCCGCGUUGGAUUAGCUAGUUGGUGAGGUAACGGCCCACCAAGGCGACGAUCCAUAGCCGACCUGAGAGGGUGACCGGCCACAUUGGGACUGAGACACGGCCCAAACUCCUACGAGAGGCAGCAGUGGGGAAUAUUGAACAAUGGGCGAAAGACUGAUGCAGCGACGCCGCGUGAGCGAAGAAGUAUUUCGGUAUGUAAAGCUCUAUCAGCAGGGAAGAUAAUGACGGUACCUGACUAAGAAGCACCGGCUAAAUACGUG